ACAGAUUUGGUCCUAGUCCUAACUUUGGCUUUUUCUAGAAUGAUACAUGCAAGUUAAUAGCGUAACCGUGAGUAAAAUUAUAUACCCUUUAUCUUUUAGAUUAAAGUAUUUCCUAGCAUCAGGCAACRUUAAAAUUUAGCCAAAAACGCUUAGACCCCCACGCCUGCAGUACUUAAUAUUGUACAAUAAGAAAAAACUUGAUACAGCAAUAGAACACCAGGACCGGUAAAUUAUGUGCCAGCCACCGCGGUUAUACAUAAAGUCCCAGUCAAAAACUUUCAUCGGCAUAAAAGUGGUAAAGAUAAAUUAUCCUCAGAGCAAACACUCACUCAAGCAGUAAUAAGCUACACAGAACAUUUAUAACAACCCUAAACCGACUCUGAUACCUUCUUCUGAAACCACGAAAGCUCAAAGAUAAACUGGGAUUAGAUACCCCACUAUAUGAGCUGUCAACAAUAAAAAUGCCAGAGAACUACRAACUAAAGUNNNNNNNNNNNNNNNNNNNNNNNNCAGAUCCCGGUGGAUGCACUGCAUAUAAAUCACGUACAAUUAAAACAAAA
RNAcentral lists this ribosomal RNA (560 nucleotides) under Hacelia superba. Its description in RNAcentral is "partial 12S ribosomal RNA". Lineage: Eukaryota; Metazoa; Echinodermata; Asteroidea; Valvatida; Ophidiasteridae. The record is from RNAcentral.